Long non-coding RNA from Lagopus muta (rock ptarmigan), 390 nucleotides. RefSeq lists it as uncharacterized. The record is from RefSeq and is a predicted model, not a curated record. Lineage: Eukaryota; Metazoa; Chordata; Aves; Galliformes; Phasianidae. The transcript is spliced from 3 exons.
CUGGCUACUAGCUGGGAAGAAUCUCUUCUGGAGAUCUCCUCCUCUGGAAUUUCAUAGCGAGCCCUGGACACGGCCCUGGCUACAUCUCAGCAGAGAAGAAAGAAUAUCUCCCCAAAGAGCCUUGGGGGACCCUGCACUGGAGCACCAGAGAACUGAAUUCCCCAAGGUAACAAGGCAAACUUCAAGGCUACACGGAAGACUGCUCAGCAACCCUCCACCACCAGACAGCUUUAAGUCUGCAAUGUCUGGGACAUGAUACAGAGACAUACAGCUAAUGGCUUGCUGCAGCUACCAACACAGAGAAAAUGUAGCUCCCAUUUAUCUUCUGCUUAACAAUAUUUGCCUGGGAAGGUUACACCUAACACAAAUUGGGUUUGCAUGACGUAUGGU